This 253-nucleotide ribosomal RNA is filed under the name uncultured bacterium. RNAcentral describes it as "partial 16S ribosomal RNA". It matches the Rfam family "Bacterial small subunit ribosomal RNA", at positions 524 to 776 of the family's 1533-position model. The record is from RNAcentral.
UACGGGGGGAGCAAGCGUUGUUCGGAUUUACUGGGCGUAACGGGCGCGUAGGCGGCAUGACAAGUCACUUGUGAAAUCUCUGGGCUUAACCCAGAACGGCCAAGUGAUACUGUCGCGCUAGAGUGCGGAAGGGGCAAUCGGAAUUCUCGGUGUAGCGGUGAAAUGCGUAGAUAUCGAGAGGAACACCUGAGGUGAAGACGGGUUGCUGGGCCGACACUGACGCUGAGUGCGCGAAAGCCAGGGAGCAAACGGG